RNAcentral lists this ribosomal RNA (408 nucleotides) under uncultured bacterium. RNAcentral describes it as "partial 16S ribosomal RNA". It matches the Rfam family "Bacterial small subunit ribosomal RNA", at positions 28 to 526 of the family's 1533-position model. The record is from RNAcentral.
GACGAACGCUGGCGGCGUGCUUAACACAUGCAAGUCGAACGAAGUGGCGAACGGGUGAGUAACGCGUAAUCAACCUGCCCUUCAGCGGGGGACAACAGUUGGACACGACUGCUAAUACCGCAUACUGAAGGAUGGGAUUGCGUCUGAUUAGGUAGUUGGAGGGGUAACGUCCCCCCAAGGCGAGGAUCAGGAGCCGGGCUGAGAGGAUGAACGGCCACAGUGGGACGGGGACACGGCCCAGACUCAUACGGGAGGGAGCAGUGGGGAAUCUGCCGCAAUGGACGAAAGUCUGACGAAGCAACGCGGCGUGAUGGAGGACGGCCGUCGGGUUGUAAAGCUCUGUUAAUCGGGACGCGGUACCGGAAUAGAAAGCCAUGGCUAACUACGUGCCAGCAGCCGCGGUAAUUC